Ribosomal RNA from Cricetulus griseus (Chinese hamster), 109 nucleotides. The record is from Ensembl. NCBI's taxonomy places the organism in Eukaryota, Metazoa, Chordata, Mammalia, Rodentia, Cricetidae.
AUCUAUGGCUAUACCACCCUGAACAUGCCCAAUCGCAUCUGAUCUUGGAAGCUGAGCAGGGUAUGGACUGGUUAGUACUUACUAUUGGAUGGGAGAAUAAUGAUAAAAC